Molecule: ribosomal RNA, 494 nt
Filed under: uncultured bacterium
Lineage: Bacteria
Description: partial 16S ribosomal RNA
Rfam family: Bacterial small subunit ribosomal RNA
Source: RNAcentral
GACGAACGCUGGCGGCGUGCUUAACACAUGCAAGUCGAACGGUGAAGCGCCUUCCUUUUUGGUGGGUGUGGAUGAGUGGCGAACGGGUGAGUAACACGUGAGUAACCUGCCCCCUUCUUCUGGAUAACCGCAUGAAAGUGUGGCUAAUACGGGAUAUUCUGGGUCUGUCGCAUGAUGGGUCUGGGACAGAUUUUGUUUCGGUGGGGGAUGGGCUCGCGGCCUAUCAGCUUGUUGGUGGGGUGAUGGCCUACCAAGGCGGUGACGGGUAGCCGGCCUGGGAGGGUGGACGGGAACACUACGGCUAAAACACGGCGCGGCCUCCUACAGGGGGCAGCAGUGACGAAUAGUGCACAAUGGGCGCGAGCCUGUUGCAGCGGCACCCCGUGGGAGAUGGUGGACUUAGCGUUGUGAACCUCUUUCGCCAGUGAAGCAGGCCUGCCUCGUUUGUGGGUGGGUUGACGGUAGCUGGUGAAGAAGCGCCGGCUAACUACGUG